CGGGAUGGGAGGCAAAGGGACUGCAACAUGAUCAAAGAGGAAAAAGUGGAAGCCGCCAUCAUCUCCAUCAGGUCGUUCUCGCUUCCGUCGGUCCAUCCAAGGCCAUGCUAUCGACACCUCCGCAGUCUUCCCAUCCUCCAGUACAUUUUUUCAACUGCCCGCGCGGUAGGGAAGGCAAAGGGUGGGCAUGUCGUCCUCUCCUCUGCACCACGUCAUCCACGACGAUGGUGGAGGAGACUGCUUCAGUCGCCAUUCGUUAGUCUCCGUUGCUCCUCCACACGCUUGGUCGUCGUCUCUACGGUUGGCCCAGGUAUGAAUACCCUUUUCCCAUCAAAUCUUCCCCAGAUCUGUGUGUUAUUCGUGUUAGGGUUUGCAUCCGCUCCUCCACAUCGUGCGCUCUCACUCCAUAGCUUCACAUUAGGAAUGGAGGUCGUCAAUUCAGGUCGAGUAGGAGCACUCUACGGCUCCGCAUUGCUACUGGUGGUCCAAUAAUCACACCUUCAUGAUUUAGUGGAUUUCCCUCAUCCAUAUCUCCACUAACAUUAGAAUAUUCCUUAUCCCAUCGUCAUGAGGUCUUCCUACUUUUGGUCUCUAAAUUGUGUAUGCCUUUUGGAGUAAUUUGCUUUGUUUCGAUGCCUACAUGUUAGCUUUGAAUAAAGCUAAUUUCCCUGCAGCUUUUGAAAAAGAGUUGCUGAAAAAAAAUCAGGUGAUCCAUUAUACACUCAUCUUUGUUGUAUUAUUACACUACUAUUUUGCUUCCACCAUGAAAUUUUAAUAUCUUAUUGGAGUUUGAAUAAAAUUUUAUAUUUGAAUGUCUUUAUUUUAGCUAUCUCACAUGUGGUGGUCCUGUAAAUUGUCCAUUUUUUUUAAAAUAAAAACAAAAUGGAACCCUAAAUUAGGAUGGUUAGCUUCCUUCUAUGUAUACCCUUUUCACUUUUUCUUUUUCUUUUGGAAAAAGUAACUAAGUGUUCGAGCUGCUUGCUUUGUACUGAUGUCAGUUUCCAUUAGGCAAUCACAACAAUUCCACAAGGAAGCAGGUCAUAAGCUGGAGUCUACCUUGCUCCUCUUUUUAUUUGUUUUCUUUGCACCCAUGUCCUUCCUCUCUGUUUUCAAAAUUCUUUUGUUAGAAGAGCCAUUUAACAGAUGCAAUAUUGUUUAUUUGCGGAAUGUCAAGUGAUGGGAAAUACUAAGAUUAUAACAUUGUAGAUAUUAUCAUUUGGUAGGUUACCAUAGCCCAUUACCUAUCUUGAAAGGAUUGAAUACUCAAUAAUCACGGCGAAACAGGCGGUGUCGAUAUACUCAAUUUUUAUAUUCUCAUAAACAAGAUAAACUUUAUCCUCCCUGUAUAGCUUAACAUGAUGUCCCUCCAUACGUACUUAUGUAUCAAUGCAUUGUUGGUUUACUAUUGUUCACAUUCUUAAUCAGCUUAUAGGUUACGAAUCUCAUUUGUUUUCCCUUGCAUUUUCCCAUGUUUACUGUUGUUCACAUUCUUGAACAAUUUAUAGAUCACGAAUCUCAUUUGUUUUCUGUUGCAUUUUCGCAUGUUGAACAACUAAUUUGAAUCGUCAACAACUCAUUUGAACAACCUACGACUUACGUUGGGAACAUGUAUGUUUUUCCCAACAAGCAAUAUGUUAUCUAUUUAUUUUCCACACUCAUGACAACCACAUAUAUCAUUUUACUUGCUAUUUUCGGCAUGGUCACCUGCUAUUUUCUAAUCGGAGCAAGGUGAAUCGCACAUUCUGUAAGUUCUAUUCGAAAGAGGUAUUUUCUAUACAAUAAACACCAUGACCACACCCUGUGUAUCCACUUAUGUAUCUAAGCAAAUUACAUAUAUGUAUAUAUGUACUUCGAAUAAGUGCUCAAUUACAUAGGAUUGAUAACGAUGUUAUACAUGAAUAAAUAUAUGCAUAGAGAUCCUACAAUAUAAAUGCACAUGUAUACACAUAUGUUAUUGAGUACUCGGAUGGUAUUUGAUCUUUUCAAAAACAAAAACGGGUGAAGGUUGUUGUGCUUUAAUAGUCUAGAUGUGCUUUUAACCCUCUUUUUAUACAAUUGUGGCAUUGCUGAUCUAAGUUUGUUACUUCAUCCUUAUGGCUUAGAUUCUAAUUAUCCAACAAUAUCAAUUUAUAUGAUCUGAAUUCCAUACUGAUGUUUGCCAUAAAUAAACUACUUACAUUCCAAAAUAUAGGUUGUUUUUAGUUUUUUUUAGAAAUGUAUAUCGUGUAUAAUAAAGGAUUAACAUGUAUCAAGAUGCAUAUAGCAGCCAACAGACUUCUACAUCUGAUACUGAAGAACAUAGAUCCAAAUGUAAUGCUAAAGAAGAAAUCACAAAGGACCAAACAACUAGCACUAGGCAACUCAAAGCAAAAGAUAAUAUGCCUUCGUUUGAAUCUCCUCCAAAAAGAGUCUUUCAUGUGAUUUGAACGCUGCGCCAACAGAAACUUGGCUUCUAAAUGGAGCUGGUUGUUGAAAUGAGAGGACAAAUGAGGAAUGGACUGAAGUGGUUGCAACGUAGGAAAUCAGGUUGCUUUAUGUUACACAUGUUGUUUGGUGGCAAAAAUCAGUGGUCCAUCAGUGCUUCCUAUGGCCUUCGUUUCAAGGACCGAUUCUUCUUCAGUGGAUGCUGACAGCUAGACAUCCCGAAAGUCAUCUGGAGAGUAUAGCUCGGCACAUGUAGCCUCCUGGAGUCGUUGACAACUCAGUGCCAUCUGAAUCAUAGGACAACUGAAGCAAAGCGAGAUAGUAAUGGAAGAAGAAUUGAAAAGAUCAGGCUGCUUGCCAUCAUAUAUAUAUACAUGGGAGGAGGAGGAAUAGUAAGUACAUCACUCCGCUUUUCUGUUUUUUGGUGCUCUGCUGGAUGAACAAGAACUGAGCUGGAACAGGAGAAGCUGGCUACGUGAGAGCACUGGCUGCCUCGUCCGAAUCCCUCGUCUGUUGUUUUUUUAGUCGUAUACACAGACAGAAACAGACUAGACUUGCUUGAGGUUACACUAGGCACAACAGCCAUGGUGGCGGCCCGCCAUGAGCAAGUUGCUUCUAGUGAGGCUGGUGGAUGACGCGGCGCGCGGCGCCCCUGGCGUAGUGCGUCGGCCUAUCCGCGUGCCUCUACUGCUGGGCGCGCGACGACAACGACGGCGUGGCGGCGGCCCGGGGGGAGCUGAAGCUCAGCGCCCUGAGCAUCUCGAGGCUUCCCUUGCUGUGAGGACUUGCGGCUCGACAUCAUUCUCACUUUCUUCCCACAAUCUCAUGGGGUGGAUGAUCGCCAUAGCCUUCUCUCCGACUUCCAGGUUCUGUACUCCUACCAAGGGGCAACGUGAGGUGUCCACAGGGGCGAGGCCGUGCCUCCGUCCCGCCGCCCCCGACAAUGAUCCCCACCGGCACUUUGUACGAAAGCACAAUAUUAGGACUUUUUUAUGAUCUUUUAUCUUUUUUAUUUGAAGGCACAAUAGGAUCCAAAGAGGUAGGUUCCUUUUUGUCACUGAUUUCAUAUACUUGAAUAACAUGUGUUCGGUUUGAAAGAGCACAUAAUUGCAUUCCUAUUUUUAGUCCUUACAUGAUUACUACAUAGUUGUUUACCGGUUUGAGGUCUGCAGAUCUCAAGCUCGCUCGCACUGCAGAUACCUUGUAGUUUAUUUUUUUACUGCAUUGCGACUAGGCCUUCCAAUUUGACAAACACAAUUAAGUAGCUUAGUUGUCACUGACAGUUGAUAGUAUCGUUGUUUCAGAUUAUUACUUCAAUGCAAAUAAAUUAUUUCUAAUAUAUUUUUGAGCUCUUAGAAUGCACAUGAUUCAACCUAUACUGCAGCAAAAUUUUGGUACUGGUACCACAACUUUCUGAGAGUUAAGUCAUUGUUUCUAGCAUUUGGCAUGCAACCUAUUGACUUAGUUGACAAGUUGAAGUCUGUAUAGAGAAAUUAAUGAUAAACCACUAUGCAAUAUAAGACAGAUAUCCUAUUUCAUCAUUUAUUGGCAUCCUUAUAAAUCUUGUGAUGCUUACCCGUGUAUGAUGUAUGGUAAUGUAUGCUUACCCAUGUGGCCUCCUUUGUGGUUGCUUAGAGGUCAUUAUCCAAAAGUUGGGAGGGAUGGAGUCAACUAAGUACUCUUUCUUGCAAUAUGUUGAUCAAACGGUGCAUCUGUAAUAUGUUUUGAGAGCUUUUGAAUGUCAAAAUGCCACAGUGCAUGAGGAGGUUA
This is a long non-coding RNA of Zea mays, 4194 nucleotides long. RefSeq lists it as uncharacterized. The transcript has 6 exons. The record is from RefSeq and is a predicted model, not a curated record. NCBI's taxonomy places the organism in Eukaryota, Viridiplantae, Streptophyta, Magnoliopsida, Poales, Poaceae.